AACGAACGCUGGCGGCAGGCCUAACACAUGCAAGUCGAACGGGUGUAGCAAUACAUCAGUGGCGCACGGGUGAGUAACACGUGGGAACGUACCCUUCAUUACGGAACAACGUCGGGAAACUGACGCUAAUACCGUAUAAUGUCUCCGGACCAAAGAUUUAUCGAUGAAGGAUCGGCCCGCGUCUGAUUAGCUAGUUGGUGAGGUAAUGGCUCACCAAGGCGACGAUCAGUAGCUGGUCUUAGAGGAUGAUCAGCCACACUGGGACUGAGACACGGCCCAGACUCCUACGGGAGGCAGCAGUGAGGAAUCUUGGACAAUGGGCGCAAGCCUGAUCCAGCCAUGCCGCGUGAGUGAUGAAGGCCUUAGGGUUGUAAAGCUCUUUUGCCGGGGAUGAUAAUGACCGUACCCGGAGAAUAAGCCACGGCUAAAAUUCGUGCCAGCAGCCGCGGUAAAACGUCUAACUG
RNAcentral lists this ribosomal RNA (464 nucleotides) under uncultured bacterium. RNAcentral describes it as "bacterial SSU rRNA". It matches the Rfam family "Bacterial small subunit ribosomal RNA", at positions 29 to 533 of the family's 1533-position model. The record is from RNAcentral.